This 243-nucleotide ribosomal RNA is filed under the name Triticum aestivum (bread wheat). RNAcentral's name for it is "partial small subunit ribosomal RNA". Lineage: Eukaryota; Viridiplantae; Streptophyta; Magnoliopsida; Poales; Poaceae. The record is from RNAcentral.
AUGGAUGGCGCGACGACCUUCUUCGCUUGGCAGGCGCUUGAGUCCGCCACCUCUCCAAGCGGCCUCCGCAAAGGGCUCAACUCCAUCGUCACUCUGACCGCUUGGGCCAUUUGGAAGCAUCAUAACGCCGUCAUCUUCGACGGCCUGCACACCGACGAUCUGGUGCUCUCCAUCCAGGAUGACGCUCGCCUAUGGGCUAAGGCCAGCACCAAGGGACUAGCCGCUAUUAUCCCUAUAACCUGA